UACGUAGGGUCCGAGCGUUGUCCGGAAUUAUUGGGCGUAAGGAGCUCGCAGGCGGUUUGUCGCGUCUGCUGUGAAAUCCCGAGGCUCAACCUCGGGUAUGCAGUGGGUACGGGCAGACUGGAGUGCGGUAGGGGAGAAUGGAAUUCCUGGUGUAGCGGUGGAAUGCGCAGAUAUCAGGAGGAACACCGAUGGCGAAGGCAGUUCUCUGGGCCGUAACUGACGCUGAGGAGCGAAAGCGUGGGGAGCGAACAGG
Molecule: ribosomal RNA, 253 nt
Filed under: uncultured bacterium
Lineage: Bacteria
Description: partial 16S ribosomal RNA
Rfam family: Bacterial small subunit ribosomal RNA
Source: RNAcentral